This 256-nucleotide ribosomal RNA is filed under the name uncultured bacterium. RNAcentral's name for it is "partial 16S ribosomal RNA". It matches the Rfam family "Bacterial small subunit ribosomal RNA", at positions 524 to 776 of the family's 1533-position model. The record is from RNAcentral.
UACAGAGGUCCCGAGCGUUGUUCGGAUUCAUUGGGCGUAAAGGGUGCGUAGGCGGUUUUGAAAGUCAGGUGUGAAACCUCCAGCUCAACCUGGAGACGCCACUUGAUACUUCAAUGACUUGAGUUCGGUAGGGGUAAGCGGAAUUCCUGGUGUAGGCGGUGGAAAUGACGUAGAUAUCUGGAGGAACACCGGUGGCGAAGGCGGCAUCCUGGACCGGUAUUGACGCUGAGGCGCGAAAGCCAGGGGAGCAAACGGG